Paramuricea clavata is the source of this 127-nucleotide non-coding RNA. The record is from the annotation of a GenBank genome assembly. Lineage: Eukaryota; Metazoa; Cnidaria; Anthozoa; Malacalcyonacea; Plexauridae.
GAACUGAGUCUAGUUCCUUCGAUAUACGAUACAAUCUAGUAAUCAUGAUUUUUUUCUGUAUUGGUAUCAACACAGAAAAAAAAGAUUACUAGAUUGCAUUGUAUAUCGAAGAAACUAGACUCAGUUC